This 567-nucleotide ribosomal RNA is filed under the name Boana xerophylla. RNAcentral describes it as "partial 16S ribosomal RNA". It matches the Rfam family "Bacterial large subunit ribosomal RNA", at positions 1831 to 2597 of the family's 2925-position model. The record is from RNAcentral. Lineage: Eukaryota; Metazoa; Chordata; Amphibia; Anura; Hylidae.
CGCCUCUUGAGAAAUAUAAGAGGUCCAGCCUGCCCAGUGACCUAGUUCAACGGCCGCGGUAUCCUAACCGUGCGAAGGUAGCGUAAUCACUUGUUCUUUAAAUAAGGACUAGUAUGAAUGGCACCACGAGGGUUUAACUGUCUCCUUUUUCUAAUCAGUGAAACUAAUCUCCCCGUGAAGAAGCUGGGAUUUUUUUAUAAGACGAGAAGACCCUAUGGAGCUUUAAACUAUUUUACACCUGCUGCCCACAAACCAACUUCCAGAAAUUAACCCUAAAGCAUAGCACUUUGAUUAAUAGUUUUUGAUUGGGGUGAUCGCGGAAUAAAAAAUAACCUCCACGACGAAAGGAUUUUUCCUGAGCCAUAAGCCACAGCUUUAAGCACUAAUAUUAUUAACGGCUAUUGACCCAAUAAUUUUGAUCAACGAACCAAGUUACCCUAGGGAUAACAGCGCAAUCCACUUCAAGAGCUCCUAUCGACAAGUGGGUUUACGACCUCGAUGUUGGAUCAGGGUAUCCUAGUGGUGCAGCCGCUACUAACGGUUCGUUUGUUCAACGAUUAAAACCCU